AUACGGAGGGGGCAAGCGUUGUUCGGAAUUACUGGGCGUAAAGCGCGCGUAGGCGGUCUGUUUAGUCAGGCGUGAAAUCCCUGGGCUCAACCCAGGAAUUGCGUUUGAAACUGGCAGACUAGAGUUCGGGAGAGGAGAGUGGAAUUCCCAGUGUAGAGGUGAAAUUCGUAGAUAUUGGGAAGAACACCAGUGGCGAAGGCGGCUCUCUGGACCGAUACUGACGCUGAGGUGCGAAAGCGUGGGGAGCAAACAGGAUUAGAUACCCCAGUAGUCC
Molecule: ribosomal RNA, 274 nt
Filed under: uncultured bacterium
Lineage: Bacteria
Description: partial 16S ribosomal RNA
Rfam family: Bacterial small subunit ribosomal RNA
Source: RNAcentral